This 72-nucleotide transfer RNA is filed under the name Marmota marmota marmota (Alpine marmot). It matches the Rfam family "tRNA". Rfam says of the family: Transfer RNA (tRNA) molecules are approximately 80 nucleotides in length. Their secondary structure includes four short double-helical elements and three loops (D, anti-codon, and T loops). Lineage: Eukaryota; Metazoa; Chordata; Mammalia; Rodentia; Sciuridae. The record is from Rfam by way of RNAcentral. RNAcentral also lists the same sequence under 1 other name.
GGUGUUGUGGCUCAGUGGUAGAGGGCUCACCUAGUGCGUGUGAGGCCCUGGGUUCCAUCCUCAGCACCACAU